GAAAUGCGAUAAGUAAUGUGAAUUGCAGAAUUCAGUGAAUCAUCGAAUCUUUGAACGCACAUUGCGCCCGCCAGUACUCUGGCGGGCAUGCCUGUCCGAGCGCCAUUUCAACCAUCAAGCCCCGCUUGCGUUGGGGACCUGCGGCUGCCCGCAGGCCCUGAAAACCAGUGGCGGGCUCGCUAGCAACACCGAGCGCAGUAGCAUACACCUCGCUCCGGUCGUUCUGCGGGUCCCGGCCGUGAAACGCCCCCCAUCUAUACAAGGUUGGCCUCGGAUCAGGCAGGAAUACCCGCUGAACUUAA
RNAcentral lists this unclassified non-coding RNA (302 nucleotides) under uncultured Podospora. RNAcentral describes it as "sequence contains ITS1". The stretch from base 1 to 105 matches the Rfam family "5.8S ribosomal RNA", at positions 50 to 154 of the family's 154-position model. The record is from RNAcentral. Lineage: Eukaryota; Fungi; Ascomycota; Sordariomycetes; Sordariales; Lasiosphaeriaceae.